This 472-nucleotide ribosomal RNA is filed under the name uncultured bacterium. RNAcentral describes it as "bacterial SSU rRNA". It matches the Rfam family "Bacterial small subunit ribosomal RNA", at positions 328 to 793 of the family's 1533-position model. The record is from RNAcentral.
CUCCGUGACUCCUACGGGAGGCAGCAGUGGGGAAUAUUGCACAAUGGGGGAAACCCUGAUGCAGCCAUGCCGCGUGUGUGAAGAAGGCCUUCGGGUUGUAAAGCACUUUCAGUAGGGAGGAAGGUAGUGUAGUUAACACCUGCACUAUUUGACGUUACCUACAGAAGAAGCACCGGCUAACUCCGUGCCAGCAGCCGCGGUAAUACGGAGGGUGCGAGCGUUAAUCGGAAUUACUGGGCGUAAAGCGCAUGCAGGCGGCCUGUUAAGUCAGAUGUGAAAGCCCGGGGCUCAACCUCGGAACUGCAUUUGAAACUGGCAGACUAGAGUACUGUAGAGGGGGUAGAAUUUCAGGUGUAGCGGUGAAAUGCGUAGAGAUCUGAAGGAAUACCGGUGGCGAAGGCGGCCCCCUGGACAGAUACUGACACUCAGAUGCGAAAGCGUGGGGAGCAAACAGGAUUAGAUACCCUGGUAG